CCUACAGAUUAGUUACAGAAUUCAACCUAUGAAUGUAUAUAAUGUCUUUGAUACAUAGCUUGCCCCAUCAUAAUCAAUAAAUAAUUGGAAGCUACUAAAACUUGUUUUCAUUCAUUGUUUCAUUUGUUUAUACACAACUUUAAAGUGCUGUAGUUUUCACUUUUUAGGAUGUUGCUUCUCUGCCAAUCUGACAUUUUUUUGAAAUUUAUAUAUAAUUUUUUGAAAUACUCAUAAUUUAAGAGGGAAAAUUACACACAUUUUCACAAUGAUUAUUUGAUGUCCUUGUUUAAAUAAGCUGUUUGUUGCCACCCUGUUUUGAAGGAAGUGUCAUUGUAUGCUAGCAAAGAUCUGGAAUCUAAAUCCAAGUUUUGAACAUUCUAUUUGAAAUUACAACAUUAAGAAUGGUUUUGACAUAAGUGUUACAGAUCAGCAAAAGGUCACAUGAGUUUGU
Molecule: long non-coding RNA, 451 nt
Filed under: Pan troglodytes (chimpanzee)
Lineage: Eukaryota; Metazoa; Chordata; Mammalia; Primates; Hominidae
Description: long non-coding RNA NONPTRT012480
Source: RNAcentral